This 392-nucleotide ribosomal RNA is filed under the name uncultured bacterium. Its description in RNAcentral is "partial 16S ribosomal RNA". It matches the Rfam family "Bacterial small subunit ribosomal RNA", at positions 523 to 918 of the family's 1533-position model. The record is from RNAcentral.
AUACGGAGGAUCCGAGCGUUAUCCGGAUUUAUUGGGUUUAAGGGGUGCGCAGGCGGCCAUUUAAGUCAGCGGUUAAAUCUUGGGGCUCAACCCCAUUCUGCCGUUGAUACUGGGUGGCUUGAUUGCGGUCGAGGUUGGCGGAAUUCGUUGUGUAGCGGUGAAAUGCAUAGAUAUGACGAAGAACACCGAUUGCGUAGGCAGCUGACCAGACCGCAAAUGACGCUCAUGCACGAAAGUGCGGGGAACGAACAGGAUUAGAUACCCUGGCAGUCCGCACAGUAAACGAUGAAUACUUGUUUUCGGCGAUAUAAUGUCGGAGGCAAAGCGAAAGCGAUAAGUAUUCCACCUGGGGAGUACGCCGGCAACGGUGAAACUCAAAUGAAUUGACGGGG